AUGGCAACUAAAGCAUAUGUUUGCCAUGACGGCAACCUAUUCAUCGUGUGUUUUUUCAUAUGUAUUCGAAUAAUUUUUUCCAUGGUUAAGUUUUAUAAGUUCUAUAGUUUAUGGGUCAUGCAAAUUUUUUGUAUACGGAUACAUAUAAUGGCACCUUUUUCUUAUACAAAGCAUGACAAGUAUAAUGAGAACAACAUGGCAAUAUUUUCACAUGCAUCUGCCAUGGCGAAUUGUGUUUCAUAUUUUUUGUGUUUACUUUAUAUACAUGACAAUUUUUCUGUUGCCAUGACAAAUAUGUUGCCAUGCCGAUUCAAUUUUUGUUGCCAUGACAUUUUAAAUCAUGUUUUUUCGUUGCCAUGGUAA
Molecule: ribosomal RNA, 363 nt
Filed under: Triticum aestivum (bread wheat)
Lineage: Eukaryota; Viridiplantae; Streptophyta; Magnoliopsida; Poales; Poaceae
Description: partial small subunit ribosomal RNA
Source: RNAcentral